CAUACCCAUAAAUCAAUAAUUCAAUGGAGUCUGCUGUUGCAAUUCACAACAUUACCAGGCAGGCCACGCUGGCAUACCUGGAAGAGGAAAAGCAGACAAAAGUCUUGGAGCCUGGGACUAACCACUGCCUCUGUCCUCAGCAGGACCCCCAUCAAGGAGACCUGAAGAGAUGAUGCUGGAUCUUCUGGGACCAUUUCCUCUCCUCCUGGUGCUGCUGGGAUCAUGGGGGCCAGUGCCACUUGCUGCUAGUCCUCCAAACCUGAAAGGGCUCAAGGGUUUGAANN
Molecule: long non-coding RNA, 284 nt
Filed under: Mustela putorius furo (domestic ferret)
Lineage: Eukaryota; Metazoa; Chordata; Mammalia; Carnivora; Mustelidae
Description: lncRNA (ENSMPUG00000027859.1)
Source: RNAcentral